Thalassophryne amazonica is the source of this 228-nucleotide long non-coding RNA. RefSeq lists it as uncharacterized. The record is from RefSeq and is a predicted model, not a curated record. NCBI's taxonomy places the organism in Eukaryota, Metazoa, Chordata, Actinopteri, Batrachoidiformes, Batrachoididae. The transcript is spliced from 4 exons.
GAAAAUGUGGGCAAAAUGUUAGACGUUUAACUAUACUAUGCCAGUAUGCUAGCCAUACGAAAGGGAAAAUAAGUGCGUCUUAUGUCUGGACUUGAAAGUCUCUACAUAACCUGACUGUUUUAUUUUGACGCAAGGAGAUCUUUCCAGAGAACAGGGGUAUGAAAAGCUCUGUGACCCACAGACUUCUUAUUCACCCUAGGGACACAAAGUAGUCCCGCACCCUGAGAA